RNAcentral lists this long non-coding RNA (952 nucleotides) under Homo sapiens (human). RNAcentral describes it as "HSALNT0376930". The record is from RNAcentral. Lineage: Eukaryota; Metazoa; Chordata; Mammalia; Primates; Hominidae.
UGAGAUUUGGGUGGAGACACACAGCCAAACCAUAUCAAUCAAAAAAAAAGAGAAAAGCUUCUAUAGAAUUGUGGUCUGGCAUCCUGACAGCAAAUGUCGAUUUCCUUAUGAAGAUAAAAUCCUUUUAAUUAUCAGAGUAAGCACCCUCCAAAUGCCCCACCAUAUAGUCUUAAAGUGUGGAAAUAUAUUCCUUUUUCAUUCUUUAUGGAAUAAACAGAGAGAGCGGUACAAGUUGUUGAGGAGUGGCCUUUGGUCCUCUGUGUCAGGAAUGCAGAAAGGAUAAGGCUCCCAAUUGUGCUGUCAAGUCAAAAGAUGCUGAUAGAACUUGUGGGGGAGACACAGCUUUCACCCUUGGGUUACUGACUCAUUUUGCAGGAAGAUGACCAUCUUUUACUGCCCAACGACAUCUUUCUACCAAUGUGAACAGAGACUAGCAGCACAGUGAUCACCUGCAGAUAGACCUGGCUUUAUCUGUACAUAACACCAAAAGAAAAAACCUGGAUUCCAGAAGGAAAUAAAGAUUUUCAGUCCCUGCAAGAAUUCUCAAUGUUCUUCACAUAAUUUGGAGAAGAGAGAGACACAGGGGGAAGAUGGCCAUGUGAAGAUGGAGGCAGAGACUGGAGUGAUACAUCCACAAGCUAUGGAAUGCCAAGGUUUGCCAGCCAUUUAUAAGAAGCUAGGAGACAGGCGUGGAACACAUUCUCCCUCUGAACCCUCAGAAGGAACCAACACUGCCGACAUUUUGAUUCCGGACUUCUGACCUCCAGAACAAGAACCCAGACUAGCCCCAGCACUCCAGGCAAUCACCACCAAACAAUGAGAGUUGGCACAGGAUACAAGACUUCUGUCCUUCUAUGACAUGGAUUUCUUCAGCAUCCAGGUGUGCAGGGUUUCUGAGCCAGGAGCAGUUGAGGAGUGGGAAGAACAUCUGGAAAGACUGGGAGUAAGGACG